AAAUGAAUAGACGGGCACCCGCACAAGCGGUGGAGCAUGCUGUUUAAUUCGAAGAUACGCGAAGAACCUUACCUAGACUUGACAUCCCUGGCAAUGCUAUAGAAAUAUAGCGGAGGCUAUCCAGGUGACAGGUGGUGCAUGGUUGUCGUCAGCUCGUGUCGUGAGAUGUUUGGUUAAGUCCAAUAACGAGCGCAACCCUUAUCCUUAAUUGCUAACAUUUAGUUGAGAACCUUAAGGAGACUGCCGGUGACAAACCGGAGGAAGGCGGGGAUGACGUCAAAUCAUCAUGCCCCUUACGUCUAGGGCUACAGGCGUGCUACAAUGGCCAGUAUAGCGAGAUGCAAUAUCGUGAGAUGGAGCAAAUCUUUAAAGCUGGUCCCAGUUCGGAUUGGAGUCUGCAACUCGACUCCAUGAAGUUGGAAUCGCUAGUAAUCGUGGAUCAGAAUGCCACGGUGAAUACGUUCCCGGGUGUUGCACACACCGCCCGU
RNAcentral lists this ribosomal RNA (488 nucleotides) under uncultured bacterium. RNAcentral's name for it is "bacterial SSU rRNA". It matches the Rfam family "Bacterial small subunit ribosomal RNA", at positions 903 to 1397 of the family's 1533-position model. The record is from RNAcentral.